RNAcentral lists this ribosomal RNA (253 nucleotides) under uncultured bacterium. RNAcentral's name for it is "partial 16S ribosomal RNA". It matches the Rfam family "Bacterial small subunit ribosomal RNA", at positions 524 to 776 of the family's 1533-position model. The record is from RNAcentral.
UACGUAGGGUGCGAGCGUUAAUCGGAAUUACUGGGCAUAAAGAGUGCGUAGGCGGUUCUUGAAGUCCGCUGUGAAAGCCCCGGGCUUAACCUGGGAAUGGCAGUGGAAACUGGAGGACUUGAAUUGAGCAGAGGGGGGUGGAAUGCCGCGUGUAGCAGUGAAAUGCGUAGAGAUGCGGCGGAACACCGAUGGCGAAGGCAGCCCCCUGGGCUUAAAUUGACGCUGAGGCACGAAAGCGUGGGGAGCGAACAGG